RNAcentral lists this ribosomal RNA (498 nucleotides) under uncultured Verrucomicrobiae bacterium. Its description in RNAcentral is "bacterial SSU rRNA". It matches the Rfam family "Bacterial small subunit ribosomal RNA", at positions 8 to 491 of the family's 1533-position model. The record is from RNAcentral. Lineage: Bacteria; Pseudomonadati; Verrucomicrobiota; Verrucomicrobiia.
AGAGUUUGAUCAUGGCUCAGAACGAACGCUGGCGGCGUGGAUAAGACAUGCAAGUCGAACGGAGACUACUUAGCUUGCUUUGUAGUUUGAGUGGCGAACGGGUGAGUAACACGUGAGCAACCUGCCCAGAAGCGGGGGAUAGCUCGAGGAAACUCGAAUUAAUACCGCAUGUGAUUCUAUGUAGCAUUGCAUAGAGAUUAAAGGUGCCUUCGGGUGCCGCUUCUGGAUGGGCUCGCGGCCUAUCAGUUUGUUGGUGAGGUAACGGCUCACCAAGACGACGACGGGUAGCUGGUCUGAGAGGAUGAUCAGUCACACUGGAACUGAGACACGGUCCAGACACCUACGGGUGGCAGCAGUCGAGAAUCAUUCGCAAUGGGGGAAACCCUGACGGUGCGACGCCGCGUGGAGGAUGACGGUCUUCGGAUUGUAAACUCCUGUCAUCGAAGAGUAAGGUUUGCGGGUAAAUAGCCCGUAGAAUUGAUAGUAUCGAAGAGAAGA